This 254-nucleotide ribosomal RNA is filed under the name uncultured bacterium. RNAcentral describes it as "partial 16S ribosomal RNA". It matches the Rfam family "Bacterial small subunit ribosomal RNA", at positions 524 to 776 of the family's 1533-position model. The record is from RNAcentral.
UACGUAGGCAGCGAGCGUUGUUCGGAGUUACUGGGCGUAAAGGGUGUGUAGGCGGUUGUUUAAGUUUGGUGUGAAAUCUCCCGGCUCAACUGGGAGGGUGCGCCGAAUACUGAAUGACUUGGAGUGCGGGAGAGGAGAGUGGAAUUCCUGGUGUAGCGGUGAAAUGCGUAGAUAUCAGGAGGAACACCGGUGGUGUAGACGGCUCUCUGGGCCGAUACCGACGCUGAGGAGCGAAAGCGUGGGGAGCGAACAGG